RNAcentral lists this ribosomal RNA (288 nucleotides) under Salmonella enterica subsp. enterica serovar Newport. RNAcentral describes it as "partial 23S ribosomal RNA". It matches the Rfam family "Bacterial large subunit ribosomal RNA", at positions 526 to 816 of the family's 2925-position model. Lineage: Bacteria; Pseudomonadati; Pseudomonadota; Gammaproteobacteria; Enterobacterales; Enterobacteriaceae. The record is from RNAcentral.
CCGGCGAGGGGAGUGAAAAAGAACCUGAAACCGUGUACGUACAAGCAGUGGGAGCACCCUUUGGGGUGUGACUGCGUACCUUUUGUAUAAUGGGUCAGCGACUUAUAUUCUGUAGCAAGGUUAACCGAAUAGGGGAGCCGGAGGGAAACCGAGUCUUAAUUGGGCGUUAAGUUGCAGGGUAUAGACCCGAAACCCGGUGAUCUAGCCAUGGGCAGGUUGAAGGUUGGGUAACACUAACUGGAGGACCGAACCGACUAAUGUUGAAAAAUUAGCGGAUGACCUGUGGCU